RNAcentral lists this ribosomal RNA (1380 nucleotides) under Brevibacterium sp. a13. RNAcentral describes it as "16S ribosomal RNA". It matches the Rfam family "Bacterial small subunit ribosomal RNA". Lineage: Bacteria; Bacillati; Actinomycetota; Actinomycetes; Micrococcales; Brevibacteriaceae. The record is from RNAcentral.
AUGCAAGUCGAACGCUGAAGCCCCAGCUUGCUGGGGUGGAUGAGUGGCGAACGGGUGAGUAACACGUGAGUAACCUGCCCCUGACUUCGGGAUAAGCCCGGGAAACUGGGUCUAAUACCGGAUACGACUGCCGGACGCAUGUCUGGUGGUGGAAAGUUUUUUCGGUUGGGGAUGGGCUCGCGGCCUAUCAGUUUGUUGGUGAGGUAAUGGCUCACCAAGACGACGACGGGUAGCCGGCCUGAGAGGGCGACCGGCCACACUGGGACUGAGACACGGCCCAGACUCCUACGGGAGGCAGCAGUGGGGAAUAUUGCACAAUGGGGGAAACCCUGAUGCAGCGACGCAGCGUGCGGGAUGACGGCCUUCGGGUUGUAAACCGCUUUCAGCAGGGAAGAAGCCUUCGGGUGACGGUACCUGCAGAAGAAGUACCGGCUAACUACGUGCCAGCAGCCGCGGUAAUACGUAGGGUACGAGCGUUGUCCGGAAUUAUUGGGCGUAAAGAGCUCGUAGGUGGUUGGUCACGUCUGCUGUGGAAACGCAACGCUUAACGUUGCGCGUGCAGUGGGUACGGGCUGACUAGAGUGCAGUAGGGGAGUCUGGAAUUCCUGGUGUAGCGGUGAAAUGCGCAGAUAUCAGGAGGAACACCGGUGGCGAAGGCGGGACUCUGGGCUGUAACUGACACUGAGGAGCGAAAGCAUGGGGAGCGAACAGGAUUAGAUACCCUGGUAGUCCAUGCCGUAAACGUUGGGCACUAGGUGUGGGGGGCAUUCCACGUUCUCCGCGCCGUAGCUAACGCAUUAAGUGCCCCGCCUGGGGAGUACGGUCGCAAGGCUAAAACUCAAAGGAAUUGACGGGGGCCCGCACAAGCGGCGGAGCAUGCGGAUUAAUUCGAUGCAACGCGAAGAACCUUACCAAGGCUUGACAUACACCAGACCGGUCUGGAAACAGGUCUUCCCCUUUGGGGUUGGUGUACAGGUGGUGCAUGGUUGUCGUCAGCUCGUGUCGUGAGAUGUUGGGUUAAGUCCCGCAACGAGCGCAACCCUCGUUCUAUGUUGCCAGCACGUGAUGGUGGGAACUCAUAGGAGACUGCCGGGGUCAACUCGGAGGAAGGUGGGGAUGACGUCAAAUCAUCAUGCCCUUUAUGUCUUGGGCUUCACGCAUGCUACAAUGGCUGGUACAGAGAGAGGCGAACCCGUGAGGGCAAGCGAAUCCCUUAAAGCCAGUCUCAGUUCGGAUCGUAGUCUGCAAUUCGACUACGUGAAGUCGGAGUCGCUAGUAAUCGCAGAUCAGCAACGCUGCGGUGAAUACGUUCCCGGGCCUUGUACACACCGCCCGUCAAGUCACGAAAGUCGGUAACACCCGAAGCCGGUGGCCUAACCC